Chrysemys picta bellii (western painted turtle) is the source of this 280-nucleotide non-coding RNA. NCBI's taxonomy places the organism in Eukaryota, Metazoa, Chordata, Testudines, Emydidae. The record is from RefSeq and is a predicted model, not a curated record.
AGCGCAGAGCCUGGGAGGCUGCGCCUGAACCGCUGAGAGAGCGCGGGGAAGGGAGCUCCCGGCCCCAACUGAGGCCUCCUCGGUCAAUAGAAAUGGAUGGGAAAGGUGUUAGGAGCGCGCCGGGGGUUGGAUGAGGGGUUGAAUAAAUCCAGAACAAGUGAAAAAGCUGAACCGCACCCUUCUAUGAAGCGUUUACCCAUUUGAGUACUGUCCACAAAAAAUGAACUCAUGCUAUGUGUAAGGAAGGUUGGAGACUUAACAGUAAAGGGGUUUUGUUUAU